Molecule: long non-coding RNA, 1875 nt
Filed under: Phascolarctos cinereus (koala)
Lineage: Eukaryota; Metazoa; Chordata; Mammalia; Diprotodontia; Phascolarctidae
Description: lncRNA (ENSPCIG00000031996.1)
Source: RNAcentral
CUGAAACCACUGCAGAGAAUCACAAAUACCAUCUUCCUUCUGCAGGGUUACAAAGAGAAGAAUAAAUUCAUGGCUGCUCAAGGUAAAGUGUUUUACCCAGCUCAUUUCUGCCCCUUUGCUUCCUUCUCAUUUGUGUGGGAGAUGAUUGGAGGCAGCAGCAGGGCUGAGGUUUGUGUUAACCUAUCCUCCACGGCAGCCUGGGCCACCCUCUGCACAGGUGGGUUCAGCAUGUGUAGCCAGCACCCCUUCCUCAUGCUAGAACCCUUUCUCCCUGACCUCACUCCCAGAUAACCAAGGCUCUGUCACAGCCAAGACUCGGUCCUCUCCCAGGGUCCAUUUGUUUAACUAACCAGCAGAGGGCUUCAGUCAAUGAAUGGACUGAAAUCCAUGAACACAGUGCCCACCAUAUAGUCAUGGCUUAAUAAAUGCUAGUAAGCCCCGCCUGACCCGACACGUUGGGUCCGUGUUGUCCAGCUUGGCAGAAGAGAGCUCUCUCCCUGUGCUCCUCAGAGCUGGUGGUGAGCACCCAUCUGGUGGACGGCCUCAGGCUGCCUGGGGGCCAGGUCCUGCAGACUGCCUUUCGACUGUGGCCCUCUCUCUCAUCUGCAGGCCCCAAACAGGAGAUGGCCAGGGACUUCUGGAGGAUGGUCUGGGAGCAGAAGUCAGAGACCAUUGUCAUGCUGACCAACUUGAAAGAAAGAAAAAAGAGCAACAGAAAGAUGGGCAGAAGAGCUGGGAAGAAUGUCCACCUGAUUUGCUUCACAAGGAAGAGCAAACGACUACAAGAGACCAAUCCCCAUUCACCCGGAACUUGCAAACUAAAAGUUCCCAGCCCCAGUACUAGAGUUUCAUCAAUCAACUUACUAGUUUUCUGAGCAACACCCUUAACACCGUACCAAAUACAGAGGAAGCUGUGAUGGAAAGGAUACAAGAAAUCAGUACUAAUGAUUUGGAUAGAUGUGAGUAUGUUGGCAGAAAAGUUGUCACUUAAGAAUUUUCUGCUCAUAUGGUUUACGUUCCUAAUACAGAAAAUGCUUGUGCCUCAUUUCAAAUUAAAAAUCCGUUUCCAUUGUUGAGAUUUUGCAACAGUAAGGCAAGAGAAGGUGUACAAAAUCUAUGAAGUUAAUUGUUCCAUUUCUCAUAGCAAAAUAUUUCCAGUUGUUAAAAUCCAAUAAUGCUGCUUAUAUCACUUCAGAAGGAGAUCUCCCAAACUCACUUGGAAGUAUAUCUAGUGAAUAUGUGAUGGUUGUCAAACUCUUUCCCCCCCCUAGAACUGAUAUAAAACCAAAAAGGUAGCAAUAAGGCUCAUUUAAAAAGCGCAAUCACUUGUUCAAUUUCUGCAGAACAGUUUAACCAACAGCCUCAUAUAGAAAAUUCAUAAUCCUGAAAUCAGUGUAGUGAAAACUGUCUCUUCAUCUCUUUGUCGACCUCCAGUUCACACAAAUAUUGAUGUUUAUCUUGGAUUGAAUAUGUUUUGCAGAGGCCUUCCAUAGAAGUCUUGUUUUUGCCUAGUAGUCUAGCUUUUUCUCGUUGGGCAAGUUUCUCUAGUGUCCUGAAAAUUUAGUAGACUGUUACAUUAUUAAGUUUAAGCGGAAGUGUUUUAUUUUCAUAUAUGAGCCUCCCUUCUCUCCUCUCCAUUUCAGCUGAUGAUAUACACUGCAGAUUUCCUGGGGGAAAAGUUCCCAGCAUAAUGAAAUCCAUAUUUUGACUAUAAUACUUGGAUUCACAUGUUUGCUUGGAAAGGAAAGAGCAAACAUGGGAUAUAGGGACAAAUCUCACUUUUGUAGUUUCCUUGCAGAGAACUGAUGUCCUUCAGUAAGAGAUCCAGUUGCUAACUCAUCAGGUGGAGCAGCUGCAUCAGCUUUAUCAAGAGGC